GUUUCAGCCGCCGCGGUAAUACAGAGGGUGCAAGCGUUAUCCGGAAUCAUUGGGCGUAAAGGGUUUGUAGGUGGUUUGUUAAGUUGGGUGUUAAAUUUUGCAGCUCAACUGCAAAAUUGUGCUCAAAACUGGCAAACUAGAGUUUUGCAGGGGUACGUGGAAUUCUGUGUGUAGGGGUAAAAUCCGUAGAUACACAGAGGAACACCAAAAGCGAAAGCAGCGUACUGGGCAACAACUGACACUUAAAAACGAAAGCGUGGGGAGCAAACGGGAUUAGAUACCCCUGUAGUCC
RNAcentral lists this ribosomal RNA (292 nucleotides) under uncultured bacterium. RNAcentral describes it as "partial 16S ribosomal RNA". It matches the Rfam family "Bacterial small subunit ribosomal RNA", at positions 505 to 796 of the family's 1533-position model. The record is from RNAcentral.